GACGAACGCUGGCGGCGUGCUUAACACAUGCAAGUCGAACGGUAAGGCCCUUCGGGGUACACGAGUGGCGAACGGGUGAGUAACACGUGGGUGAUCUGCCCUGCACUUCGGGAUAAGCCUGGGAAACUGGGUCUAAUACCGGAUAGGACCACUGCCUGCAUGGGUGGUGGUGGAAAGCUUUUGCGGUGUGGGAUGGGCCCGCGUCCUCUCAGCUUGUUGGUGGGGGGCUGGCCUACCAAGGCGACGACGGGUAGCCGGCCUGAAGGAGUGACCGGCCACACUGGGACUGGGAUGCGGCCCAGACUCCUACGGGAGGCAGCAGUGGGGAAUAUUGCACAAUGGGCGCAAGCCUGAUGCAGCGACGCCGCGUGAGGGAUGACGGCCUUCGGGUUGUAAACCUCUUUCAGCACCGACGAAGCGCAAGUGACGGUAGGUGCAGAAGAAGGACCGGCCAACUACGUGCCAGCCGCCGCGGUAA
Molecule: ribosomal RNA, 478 nt
Filed under: uncultured bacterium
Lineage: Bacteria
Description: partial 16S ribosomal RNA
Rfam family: Bacterial small subunit ribosomal RNA
Source: RNAcentral